GAAUGUGAGGGUGACCUGGCUGUGACCCUGCCACCCCAUUGAUUGCCAGGACCUAUUAAACUGAUGCAUUGGCUUGGUGUCUUCUUUUUCUCUCGCCAUUCCGUGUAAGCCAGGCUUCAAGCUGGGGACUCAGAUGACAGGUAUGGCCUUCCCUGAUAAAGGAAGGUCUGUCUCAGUGAGUCUUCAAGAUGAGAUGCACUCUGUGAUCCCAAAAUGCAUCCCAAAGUCUUGAGAUGAAUGCCUUGUGAAGGGGCUUGCUGAGUUUC
This 266-nucleotide small RNA is filed under the name Choloepus hoffmanni (Hoffmann's two-fingered sloth). RNAcentral describes it as "7SK RNA (ENSCHOG00000016061.1)". It matches the Rfam family "7SK RNA". Rfam says of the family: 7SK was discovered as an abundant small nuclear RNA in the mid-70s but a possible function has only recently been suggested. Two independent studies have found that 7SK RNA binds the CDK9/cyclin T complex (known as elongation factor P-TEFb). The record is from RNAcentral. Lineage: Eukaryota; Metazoa; Chordata; Mammalia; Pilosa; Megalonychidae.